RNAcentral lists this unclassified non-coding RNA (251 nucleotides) under Penicillium aurantiogriseum. RNAcentral's name for it is "partial internal transcribed spacer region". The stretch from base 1 to 46 matches the Rfam family "Eukaryotic small subunit ribosomal RNA", at positions 1786 to 1831 of the family's 1831-position model. Lineage: Eukaryota; Fungi; Ascomycota; Eurotiomycetes; Eurotiales; Aspergillaceae. The record is from RNAcentral.
AAGUCGUAACAAGGUUUCCGUAGGUGAACCUGCGGAAGGAUCAUUACCGAGUGAGGGCCCUUUGGGUCCAACCUCCCACCCGUGUUUAUUUUACCUUGUUGCUUCGGCGGGCCCGCCUUUACUGGCCGCCGGGGGGCUCACGCCCCCGGGUCCGCGCCCGCCGAAGACACCCUCGAACUCUGUCUGAAGAUUGAAGUCUGAGUGAAAAUAUAAAUUAUUUAAAACUUUCAACAACGGAUCUCUUGGUUCCG